GGAGCCUGCGGCGCCCGGAGCGGGACGCGGGGCUGCGGGAGCGCUGCAGGAAGUACGGCUCAUUUCGUCUCCUUCUCAUCCUCCUUGCGGUUAUAUUUUGGGUGUGCUUUAUCAGGCACGCCGCGUGUCAGUGCGGCCGUGCCUGCCUGUGGUUUAUAAAUAACUCCGUGUACACUGGGGACGCGCUCGCUCAGGGGUGUUUCGCUGUCAGGGGCGCGCUGCGGCCUCUGCCGGCCACAUUUAAAGAUCUGGAGCGUUAAAUAACAUUAAGAAUUAACAGGUGCCAAAGGAGUCGCGUUCCCUUUUCCGUGGGAAGGAGGUCAUUGCCGGCGGCGUGGGUGUCGGAGCAGCUUCUCCAGUGAUCCCUUCCUGCAGUAAUCAAAACUGAGGUUACUGUGAAGCUUUAGCCCUGAUGAUUGACAAGAAAGCAAUCUAAAGCGACCUGGCACCUAAACGUGGGCUUCCCUAGAAGAGAAAGAAAAGAGUGCCUCAUGAGGAAAAUCUCCCCUGCUCCCACCACCUAUUGGCGUUUCGGCUCCAGCUAAUACCUUCUGUGCAUCGCAACUUCCACAGUCUGCGGGAACCUUGUGGGCACGGCGUGAACUCGUCCACCUUUAAUCAGCGUUCAGGCAGGAGAGCGGCUUCCCGCCCCUGUGCCUGGGUUGGUGUGCCGCUGCCGCCGCUCGGGGAUGGUUUGCUCUCUCCGCAGCCCAGCCAGCGCUGCACCAGAUUGUUUGGGAAGUCAGCGGGGCUGCCGGGUACCAGGAUAAAGUUCCUGGAAAGGCGUCUUCGCAAGAAGAGCGAGCUCUGCGCUAUGUGUUGCGCGGAGGCUGCGGAGUUUGUUCGGUAACUGCGGGACCGGUGGAGCACCGCGUAACCUUCUGACAGUGCACACAGGAACCACAGUUACAGCCAGUCGCUGAUUCGUUUCCUGCUUGGGUGCCAUAAAAUAUUUUCAGAAAUGCAAGAAGAUAAAGGGCAAAGUGCUAAAGCCACCAGUGCAGUGGGUGACCUGAGGAAAAGUUGGCAGACCUGGGCAGAGGAUCACAUUGAGUAUCAGAGGAAGAAUCCGUUCAGCAGUGACGGCAGGCUUGCGUCUAAACCUGCGCCUACUCACAGAGGAGAUCCGACUUAUGGGAGACCCCUUGAAGGGUCUCGGACAGAGCAGAGAGGGAAAGAUGCUCACUCGCACGUGGGUAAGGAGGUGGAAGAGCUGUGCUCGAUCAUCAGAAGAACUGGAGAGGUGGGAGAAGAUGGACACGUGAGUGUGACAUUUGGGCAGCUGUUUGAAACCUAUGUGACUAUUUCCAAUAAAGUAGUGGGCAUCUUGUUAAGAGCCAGAAAACACGGCCUGGUUCGUUUUGAAGGUGAAAUGCUUUGGCAAGGGAAAGAUGACGAGGUGGUCAUCACUUUACUACAAUAAGGCUUUGUCCUGGAAUGAACUUUGCUGCAUGGUUCCAUUUGGAAAAACAUAUCUUCACAGGUUUUGGUUACAGAAUUUCAACUCAGCUACUUACACGCAAGCAGGAGAGGAAGUGGGCAAGAAGGAUAAAGCAUAUUUUUGUAAAAAUGGUAGAGAUUUGCACAGAAAUCACGGAUUAAUGGGCUACUCCAUCACGCUGACAUUGGCUUGUCCUUGUUAUCAUCUACAACCAAGUAUAUGAGAGUUCUUCAAAUAAUUCUGCUGGCCUACUGCUUUUAGGUUACUGAAAGUGUAAAUUACUAACUUGCUAUCCUACAACACUGAUCCCUGCCAGUUGUGAAAUACUUACUGCAUGGGAGAAUGGGAUUUGUAAAACAUGGAAUUGAAAACUCUUGUGGGAAUUCAUAUGCUUCUUCAAACAAAAAGCCUGGUAUAUAACGAAAUUUAGGUUCAAUCUCACAUGGUUAAACUGAAUAAAUUGGAAUUAUUUUCA
Hirundo rustica (Barn swallow) is the source of this 1916-nucleotide long non-coding RNA. RefSeq lists it as uncharacterized. The record is from RefSeq and is a predicted model, not a curated record. NCBI's taxonomy places the organism in Eukaryota, Metazoa, Chordata, Aves, Passeriformes, Hirundinidae. The transcript is spliced from 4 exons.